This 219-nucleotide ribosomal RNA is filed under the name uncultured bacterium. RNAcentral describes it as "partial 16S ribosomal RNA". It matches the Rfam family "Bacterial small subunit ribosomal RNA", at positions 32 to 232 of the family's 1533-position model. The record is from RNAcentral.
AAUCAACGCUGGCGGCGUGCCUAACACAUGCAAGUCGAACGCGAAAGUUCCUUCGGGGAUGAGUAGAGUGGCGUCCGGGUGAGUAACGCGUGGGUAAUCUGCCUUUGGGGUGGGGAGUAACUACAGGGAAACGUUAGGGUCGUAAUAACCGCCAUAAUAGCAGCGGCGUCGACAAUCGAGACAGUUGUUAAAGACAGCAAUGCGCCUGAAGAGGAGCCU